UUCGGAUUGUAGUCUGCAACCCGGCUACAUGAAGCUGGAAUCGCUAGUAAUCGCGGAUCAGAAUGCCGCGGUGAAUACGUUCCCGGGUCUUGUACACACCGCCCGUCACACCAUGGGAGCCGGAAAUGCCCGAAGUCAGUGACCCAACCGCAAGGAGGGAGCUGCCGAAGGUGGAGCUGGUAACUGGGGUGAAGUCGUAACAAGGUAAC
This 209-nucleotide ribosomal RNA is filed under the name uncultured bacterium. Its description in RNAcentral is "partial 16S ribosomal RNA". It matches the Rfam family "Bacterial small subunit ribosomal RNA", at positions 1292 to 1500 of the family's 1533-position model. The record is from RNAcentral.